Small nuclear RNA from Colobus angolensis palliatus, 63 nucleotides. Its record names the gene U7. It matches the Rfam family "U7 small nuclear RNA". Rfam says of the family: Animal histone pre-mRNAs are spliced by a different mechanism than nuclear pre-mRNAs and self-splicing introns. This processing involves the U7 snRNP, which contains only one RNA species: U7. NCBI's taxonomy places the organism in Eukaryota, Metazoa, Chordata, Mammalia, Primates, Cercopithecidae. The record is from Ensembl.
UCAAGCUACAGUUCUUUUCGAAUUUGUCUAGCAGGCUGUCUAGUUUUUUGCCAGAAAGCCCCC